RNAcentral lists this RNase P RNA (341 nucleotides) under Bacteroidales bacterium. RNAcentral's name for it is "RNase P RNA component class A". It matches the Rfam family "Bacterial RNase P class A". Rfam says of the family: Ribonuclease P (RNase P) is a ubiquitous endoribonuclease, found in archaea, bacteria and eukarya as well as chloroplasts and mitochondria. Its best characterised activity is the generation of mature 5'-ends of tRNAs by cleaving the 5'-leader elements of precursor-tRNAs. Lineage: Bacteria; Pseudomonadati; Bacteroidota; Bacteroidia; Bacteroidales. The record is from RNAcentral.
UAAGCAGGCAGUUCUAUCGCUUCGUUUUACGGGGAGGAAAGUCCGGACAACACAGGGCACUGCGCUUCUGAAACAGAAGAUAUCCGUGAGGGUAUGGUAACGGAGAAGAAAAUAACAGCCUUGGCAACAGGGUAAUGGUGAGAAGGUGGGGUAAGAGCCCACCGGUAAUGGUGGCGACAUCGUUAGCCGUUCGUCCUGCAGGUUGCAAGACCAUGUAUAUCGGCGUUGUGUUUUACACAGAAAGGUUGCCCGCCUAAGCCGAGGGGUAGGUCGCAUUAGAUAAAUGGUAGAAGCUUUUCUGUGGAAAAGUACAGAAUCCGGCUUAUAUGCCUGCUUUUAUU